This 201-nucleotide ribosomal RNA is filed under the name uncultured bacterium. RNAcentral's name for it is "partial 16S ribosomal RNA". It matches the Rfam family "Bacterial small subunit ribosomal RNA", at positions 309 to 526 of the family's 1533-position model. The record is from RNAcentral.
CACACUGGGACUGAGACACGGCCCAGACUCCUACGGGAGGCAGCAGUGGGGAAUCUUGCGCAAUGGGCGAAAGCCUGACGCAGCAACGCCGCGUGGGGGACGAAGGCCUUCUGGGUUGUAAACUCCUUUCAGCAGGGACGAUCGUGACGGUACCUGCAGAAGAAGCCCCGGCCAACUACGUGCCAGCCGCCGCGGUAACAC